This 253-nucleotide ribosomal RNA is filed under the name uncultured bacterium. Its description in RNAcentral is "partial 16S ribosomal RNA". It matches the Rfam family "Bacterial small subunit ribosomal RNA", at positions 524 to 776 of the family's 1533-position model. The record is from RNAcentral.
UACGUAGGCAGCAAGCGUUGUUCGGAGUUACUGGGCGUAAAGGGUGUGUAGGGGGCCUGUUAAGUUCCGUGUGAAAUCUCCCGGCUCAACCGGGAGGGUGCGCGGAAAACUGGCGGGCUAGAGUACGGGAUGGGAGAGUAGAAUUCCUGGUGUAGCGGUGAAAUGCGUAGAUAUCAGGAGGAAUACCGGUGGUGUAGACGGCUCUCUGGACCGUAACUGACACUGAGACACGAAAGCGUGGGUAGCAAACAGG